UGGUGGGCUGGUUCUAUUCCAGGGCUACGCCUGUCUGA
RNAcentral lists this ribosomal RNA (38 nucleotides) under Bothrogonia acuminata. RNAcentral describes it as "partial 5.8S ribosomal RNA". Lineage: Eukaryota; Metazoa; Arthropoda; Insecta; Hemiptera; Cicadellidae. The record is from RNAcentral.